UCGCGAAACCGCCCCUUUGCAGGAGGGGCGGUCGUCAGGGCGUGGUGGCCCUGGCCUGACGAGCAGCCAAGG
This 72-nucleotide non-coding RNA is filed under the name Magnetococcales bacterium. The record is from RNAcentral. Lineage: Bacteria; Pseudomonadati; Pseudomonadota; Magnetococcia; Magnetococcales.